This 216-nucleotide ribosomal RNA is filed under the name uncultured bacterium. RNAcentral's name for it is "partial 16S ribosomal RNA". It matches the Rfam family "Bacterial small subunit ribosomal RNA", at positions 115 to 334 of the family's 1533-position model. The record is from RNAcentral.
CCGUGGGUCAUCUACCGUGAGGUGAGGAAUACCGGCGAGAAAUCGCCGACAAAACCGCAUAGCCUCGGUGCAAGCCGAGGAAAGCUCUCGCAAGGGAGCGCCACACGAGGAGCCUGCGCCCGAUUAGCUAGCUGGUGGAGUAACGGUUCACCAGGGCGACGAUCGGUAGCUGGUCUGAGAGGACGAUCAGCCACACUGGGAUUGAGAACGGCCCAG